This is a non-coding RNA of Cinara cedri, 679 nucleotides long. Lineage: Eukaryota; Metazoa; Arthropoda; Insecta; Hemiptera; Aphididae. The record is from the annotation of a GenBank genome assembly.
AAUAUUGAACAGAACAAGAGUUUUCAAAUUUGUUAGAUCUCCUGGAACACCCUGUACAUAGUCUAAACACUGCUAUAUGUAUAGAAGAGUAUCCCCUAUGCAAGUAUACACAUAUAUAUUAUACAUGUGAGGGGGUAUACGUGUAUAUGUGUAUUAUAUUUGUGUUUCAAAAUAUAUUUAUUAUUAUAUAUAUUGGCCCGGGUGUAGAAAACGGUUUUAGCGUCAUAUUGUUUUCAUGGGUUGUCAGAGACCGCAUAACUAUAACGAUAUUUUAUGUUUCCUAGCUCCUGUAACCAUACUAUCAUCCUCGAUGCAUACGAUAGUAUCAAUAUACUGAAAUAUUAUAAUCAGGUAAACAAAAAUAUCGGGAAAUUUCUCUUCAAAAUAUAAAAUAUAUUAUACACGUUUUCGGCAUUAAAACAGUUUUGGGUGAGAAAGAAUAAGAAGAAGAGUUUUAAAAAUACAAUAAUGAAAUCUUCUGUAAAAUUUGAAAAAUCAAAACGUUAAUAAUAUAUACAUAAUUUUAUUGAAGACACGUAAAAUAAUUAUUAUUAUCUAUCUACUUUGAACGAAUAAACGUAUUAGUUUCCGUAUUAGUAUAUAUGUAUCCGCAAACACCAUAUCUAUUAUAAUAUUAUUAUUAUCAGCCCAAAAACUCGAUCAAAACGUACUUCCCAUA